GAUGAAGAACGUAGCGAAAUGCGAUAACUAAUGUGAAUUGCAGAAUUCAGUGAAUCAUCGAGUCUUUGAACGCACAUUGCGCCCCCUGGUAUUCCGGGGGGCAUGCCUGUUCGAGCGUCAUUUCACCACUCAAGCCUCGCUUGGUAUUGGGCAACGCGGUCCGCCGCGUGCCUCAAAUCGACCGGCUGGGUCUUCUGUCCCCUAAGCGUUGUGGAAACUAUUCGCUAAAGGGUGUUCGGGAGGCUACGCCGUAAAACAACCCCAUUUCUAAGGUUGACCUCGGAUCAGGUAGGGAUACCCGCUGAACUUAAGCAUAUCAAUAAGCGGAGGA
This 331-nucleotide unclassified non-coding RNA is filed under the name soil metagenome. RNAcentral describes it as "partial contains 5.8S ribosomal RNA, internal transcribed spacer 2, and large subunit ribosomal RNA". The stretch from base 1 to 120 matches the Rfam family "5.8S ribosomal RNA", at positions 35 to 154 of the family's 154-position model. The record is from RNAcentral.